Long non-coding RNA from Capra hircus (goat), 4759 nucleotides. NCBI's taxonomy places the organism in Eukaryota, Metazoa, Chordata, Mammalia, Artiodactyla, Bovidae. The record is from Ensembl.
AUGUGGGAGAUGGCUCCGGAAUGCCGGCCCAAACUGGCGGCCCAGGAAGCGCAGGAGGCGCCCGGCGACUCCUUCCCCGCGGCGCGCCAAGCGGGCCGAACUCCGCGGCUGAGUCGCGCGGCUCCACUCACCGCGCGCGGGCUCGGGCUCCGGCCUCGGAGAGCGGUAAACGGAAUCGGUUUCCCACGGUCUCCCCCUUCAUCCCGGGGCCUUUCAAAAGCCGCUCACGAAUUCCGUCGUCCAGUUUACGCGGAUUCUGAGCCUCGCGUUCACCCCGCGCCACCUGGAAAGGGGACCCUCGCACGGUCCGCAUCCCCGGGCCGCCCGCCCGUGCACACGGGGAGCAACUUCGUUCCCCUGAGAGCCCUGGCCCCGCGGCGCGGGCAGAGCUCCGCCCGGCAAAGGUGGCACUGUGGUCGCUCCGGAACGCUACCCGCGUGGACGCGGCCGCCACCUUCUGCUCUCGCUUCUGGCUGCGCGCGGGCAGAGCCCUGGAAACAACGAAAACGGCGAGCAGAGUUGCUUUCCGGAUGUCGGAGUCCCGGAAGCCUCUGGGUGCCAGCCAGUCCUCCGCGUCCCCAGACGCCCCAGAGCCGAGCUCACCGCCUGGCCGCCGGUACCGGAACAGACUCCCCCAGUCGGCUUGCCGGCAAUCCACGCCUCGACGUGACCCCGAAGGAGCAGCUGCGGGGAGAUGCUUCUUCGAGCCUCAGUUUCCCCACCUGUGCAACGGGGCCAUAUGUUCCUGCGCCCUUCCCGGGGUUGAUGUGGGAUUGGCGGGGAGAGAGGACCUGGAAAACGCCCGACGGGGCUCAGUUCUGCCCACCUUUUGGGGCCAGGGGAGGGGCAUGGCCUGCUCAAAAUGUCCUGGCUGCUCACUGCUUCUGGACAAGACCAUUGGAGGGAAGCUCUCUUGAACAAGCAAGAAAACAGAAGAGUCCAGGACCGCCCCAGGCAGGCGAAAAAAUUACCCCUCGUGCUGCCUGACCCGAAGCUGAUGGAAUCGGUCGAGGAUUCCUGUCCCCUGGGGCAGAGCCGCCUGCUUCUGCCUCAGGCACCAAGAGCCCACAACCCUGGGGCUGCAGGGAGGGAGCAGGCACUCGCAGCUCUUGGCUCCGCUGCCCCUGCCAGGACUUCUCCACCUCCCAGGCAGUGGGGCUCCCUCCCCCUCUGCCCUCGAACAUCUGCAGGAGGUUCCCUGGUGAAGGAAGGACCAGUGGUGGCCAGAAUGGCAGGUCAGGGGACCUCACUGAGGACUGAGGGACUAGGGUAGCAGCCCCUCACUCACGGGAGUCCCCAACCCCCACCAUGGUAUCAGUGAAGUUAUUAUGAAUGUCCUGCCGGGUAGGGGGCAGCAGAGGGACUGCCUGAGCACUGCCCCUGCCACUCACACAUGACGCCCCCUGCUUCCCUUCCAGGACAAGCAGGCAGCUGUCGGGGAGGGGGGGGGGAGUAGGGGGGAGGUGUGGGGGGGGAGGGGAGCAGAUCAGAGGAGCUUAGCUUAGAGCCAGAGGCUUCCCCAUUCUACCUGGGGCUCUGGGGCAGCCCCCCGCCAGCUUCCUGGACAUCCCAGUUUCCCACAGUAUAAUAUGGAGGCGAAAAAAUGGGUGUUGGGCAUAGCUGCAGGCAAGUGUGCUGCCUGGCGCCUCCUGGGAGCUCAGGUGUUUUGGAGCUGGGACGGCUAGCAGCAGGGUUCCCUGCACCCUCUGACCCCUCCUCUCCCAGAACCAAAGCCUGUCCCUCGGGCUCUGACCUGGAUUCAUGGAGGGCUGUUCCUUGCUCCCUUGCGGGACACAGAGGGCCAGUUGGACCAGGAUGAAGGACAGGGCUCCUGGGAGCUGUGGGUUCCCUUCCCCCUGCAGCUCUUCAUGGGUUCCCAGAGUCAGGCCCACCCUGCCUUCAGCGCCUCUCACAGGCACCUUGUGCCUGCUGAGAGGCCAAGGCUCUCAGACCAUGUGCAGACUUUUUAUUUAUUCAUUCAAUCAGAAGCCGUGGUAAUGCUGGGGCUCCUGAACUUACAGUCACACGGUGAGAGCUGAAGUGAAGGCUGUUUGUUCCCGCACACUUGCAGCUUCCAGAGCAUCUUACUUUGCCCUCCCCCUGCUCCCCCAGAGUCCCAGUGCCUGGGACUGUGCUUGGAGCUCAGUGAACGAAAGAAUGAAUGAAUGAAGAGGUCUGAAUGAGUUGAAAGUGACCCUGGGAUCCCCGAAGCUGAUCUCAGCCCUAGAAAUGGGGGAGGGGAGGUCCAGGUGACCUUCCUGGCUGUGGCCCCGUGGCCACAGCCCUGUCCUGAGCGUCCUGUCCUCUGCCUUUCCCCACCCUGCAUCCAGCAGCCUGUGCCAAGUGACAGGGGUGCAGCAAUGAGCAAACCACCCAGAUGCCCUGAUGUGCAAUGCACGAUUUGAAAAAGGGAAGACCACCUGCUCAGGGGUGAGUGAGUGGGUGGGGUCAGCCUUGUGCUGGGGACAGUGGACACUGGCAGAAAGAGCAUCCUCAGGACACAUGUGGUCUGUCCCUCAGUUCCCUGGCCUGGAGUAUGGAGCCCCGGGGGUACUGGGGCUCCAGAGCCAGGCAGGGUGCUGGCUGCUGCCCCAGUCACUCCCACCCUUGGGCUCCACCCCAGUGCAUAUGGCCCUAAUCUCACACCGUGGGACCACAGUAAGGAGACACUGGUGCUCAGAGGAGCGAGAACUUUCCUGGGAGGCACAGUGGGAGUCACCUGGCUGACACAGAGCCCUGCUCCGGGCGACCCUCAAAGGAUGUCUGCAGUGGGGGGGUCUCCAUCUGGGACCUUUCCUGGUUUCAUGCCCUGCCAGAAUUGUGAGCUCCAAAGGGGGAUCCUGAUGAUGACUGAGAUGUUUAUUUGCCUGUGUCCAGAAAGACUUGGCCACCAGGCUUUGUAUUUCCUCAGAGUCUAGCUGUUGCUGGAGAGUCAGGACCCCUCUCAGUGUGGGCAUCCCAGGGCCAUUCUAGGGCACAGACCAGUGGCUUUGGGGGCCUGGUUUGGAGCCAACAUUUCAAGUAAGUCAGGCUUAGAAUCUGGGCUUCUGGGAAGAAAUUCCCAAUCAUGAAAUGUGUCAUUUGAAAAAAUAUAUGUGUCAGUUAAGUGUGCACUGAGCCUGGACCACAUGGGAUAGGGUUGUUCUAAUAAACACGAAUAAGCCAGUUUUCACAUUAGAGAAAUAACAGUUUCAAGUAGAAAUGUGGUGCUUUUAAAAGAGGUUAAUUAAUAAACAGCAGGUAAUUGUUCAUGGCACAUGGUGGCAGAGGGUAAUUUUCAUUUUAGAGGAGAGAAGGCCCAAAUGCCCCCCCAACUCAGAUUUUUUUGUGUAAUAAUCACCUUGGCUUCACCUCCGCCUUUAAUUUUUACAGCUGGAGCUGUUUAUCAUCGCUCCAACUUUCACUAAAAAGGAAAAACUAUCACUUAAACAAAGCCAUUGAAAACUCAGCAUCAUAUGUGGAUUUCUUAACAUAAAUAAAUCAUACAAACCAAGAUUUAUGUUCUCCCAAUGAUGUCAUUCGCUGAAGGCUGCCUUCCCAAUCAAAUCAGCGGUUAGUGACUCUCCUUUUGUGUGUGUGUGCUUUUUGCAAAAUAAGAAAAGCAGCGCUGGCAUCCUGGCUGCUCUCUUUCUCUGCUCCGCCCAGGACAUCAGAAAGGUCUCUCCCUGCAUCAGCACAACUGGUUCUAAACGGUGAGCACGGAUUCAAUGCCACAGAUGGCAUUUCAAGCCUUUGUUUUUGAAAUGCAGGUUCUAAGUUGAAAGACUGUUAAGGCUUCCUGAAGGAUUUGCUCAGACUCCAGCAGAAGCUGGGGGCUCUGGGGGUCUCUCAGAGCCUAGGAUGAGUUUCGCUGCAGGGUCAUCACGUUGAAAUGAGCGAGGACCGCGACAGGCACCCAUGAUGGGGAGAUGAGAUGUGGUCGCUCCGUACAGUGGAGAAGUGUCAGUCACAGCAAGGAACGAAGCCCUGAUAAUGGACCACAGUGUGCACGAAGUUGGUGAAUGAAGUCAGUCAGAGCAGGUCACGUACCAUUCCAUUCUACCUAUGUAGAAUGCCCCUACCAGGAUGGGCAAAUCCACAGAGACAGAAAAGAAACAAGUGGUUGCCAGGGUAGGGGAGAGGACGUGGCAGGUGACUGCUUCCUUGGCACAGGGUUUCCUCCUGGGAAGAUGAAAAUGUUCUGGAAACAGACGCCCACUUUGUUUAUUUACUAAAGUCUUCCUUGUCUUUUUGAUUUUAUUGGCUGCACCAGGUCUUAGCUGCAGCACAUAGGAUCUUCAUUGCAGUGUGCAGGAUAUUUACUUGCAGCAUGCAAAGUCUUCGUUGCAGCAUGCAGGAUCUAGGGGUCAAAUCCGGGUCCUCUGUGUUGGGAGAGCAGAGUCUUAGCUACUGGACCGCCAGGGAUAUCCCAGACAGCCCACUUAAAAAUGGAGACUGUUGUGCUUUGUUAAUUGUAUCUCAAUAAAUCUGUUAUUUAAAAAUCACUACUGAGAACAUAUGUUUAAAAAGCUUUAUGUUCAUUUUAAAGUUUUUUCCGUUUUGAAAUGAUCACACAGAUGGGUGAGUGUGUAAGACUGCAUGUGCACGCCUGGAGUAUAUGACAUGAGCACCGGCCCCAGCUCCUGGGUGAAGCAUGAGCUUGUGAUAAUUUUUCUUCAAAGUUCUCUGUAUAGCCCCUUCCCCUAACUGCAUCCCCUUCAACCAGACCAGAGGUACCCACCCCACAGGUAUUUGUGUUAACCACCUCCUUGACUUGUUU